CCAGCACCACAGUCACCCCUGAAGUAAACCUCUGCUUGCAGUGCUCAACAAAUUCGGGCAAUCUGCUCCUGCACAACUGCAUGUUUUUCCAUAUAGUGCCUCAAUCUCGCCUUUUAAAAACAAACAUUACGACUAAGAUGAUGUAACUAAAAGAUUUAUAUCAGGACAUACAACUAGGAACCUCAGAGCUGAAUUCGGAACUUAGUUUUGGUCUGCUUCAAAGUGUGUGCUCUACAUUAAAUCCUACUGCUACCACCCACAAAGACCUGAUUUUUAACCCAGACCUCAUAUAGUUCCUGUGGAGAAAACACAUGUGGAUUAGUAAAUAAAAGUCAAGUAGGUCUGAGGGUUGGAGGGACUGGUUCUUUAUUUCAAAAAGACACUUGUCAAUUUUCAGUAUCAAAACAGUUGCACUACUGGUUUCUCUUUCUCCCAAUUGGCCCCCAAAGAGACCACACCAAAGGAGAGUACAUUUUAAGCCAAUAAGCUGCAGGAUGCACACCUAAUAGACCUCACAGAAACCUCACCAAAAAGGGAGGAUUGGGUAGGGAAAAAAACUUCAAAAGAUCAGCACACUGCUGGCCCACAGACUAUAGAGAGCUCUCACAGCCAAAUGGGGUAGCCAGUGUGCCCCAACCCCAAAGAAGCAAUGUUUCAAAAUAAUAUAAAAUUUUAAAAGUUUUGUACAUAAGCUAUUCAAGAUUUCUCCAGCACUAACUGAUACGAAGCACAAUGAGAUGGCACUUUUAGAGACAGCAGCUUCAGACCCACAAUAGGGUGAUGAGAUGAGUUUCAUAUGGCUAAAUCAGUGGCAAAAACAUAAUUUUCCUUCCUUUCUUUCAAGAAUGCAGGGGAGCAAAUAAGUGGUCACCUCAACAUAAGGGACACAUGAUCAAUUCUGUGAGCAGUUGGGAAGGGAGUAGAGAUGGGACAAGGAUUUGGUCUCAGAGAGGUCUCACCAUCUUAAUUUGUUUGGUCACUUCUGAUGAAAAAAAUAAAAA
This is a long non-coding RNA of Equus quagga, 1001 nucleotides long. RefSeq lists it as uncharacterized. Lineage: Eukaryota; Metazoa; Chordata; Mammalia; Perissodactyla; Equidae. The record is from RefSeq and is a predicted model, not a curated record. The transcript is spliced from 3 exons.